This 223-nucleotide ribosomal RNA is filed under the name uncultured bacterium. RNAcentral describes it as "partial 16S ribosomal RNA". It matches the Rfam family "Bacterial small subunit ribosomal RNA", at positions 524 to 745 of the family's 1533-position model. The record is from RNAcentral.
UACGUAGGGCGCAAGCGUUGUCCGGAAUUAUUGGGCGUAAAGAGCUCGUAGGCGGUUUGUCGCGUCUGCUGUGAAAACCUCAGGCUCAACCUGGGGGCUUGCAGUGGGUACGGGCAGACUAGAGUGCGGUAGGGGGUGACUGGAAUUCCUGGUGUAGCGGUGGAAUGCGCAGAUAUCAGGAGGAACACCGAUGGCGAAGGCAGGUCUCUGGCCGUAACUGACG